CACUUUUCUGAGAGAUGAGCAAGGACAGUAUCUCAGGAAUAAGUCUCGGCUAACUACGUGCCAGCAGCCGCGGUAAAACGUAGGAGGCAAGCGUUAUCCGGAUUCACUGGGCGUAAAGCGCGUGCAGGCGGUUCGGUAAGUUGGGUAUGAAAUCUCCUGGCUUAACUAGGAGAGGUUAUCCAAUACUACCGGACUUGAGAGUGGUAGAGGAAGAUGGAAUUCCCGGUGUAGUGGUGAAAUGCGUAGAUAUCGGGAGGAACACCAGUGGCGAAAGCGAUCUUCUGGACCAUUUCUGACGCUCAGACGCGAAAGCUAGGGUAGUAAACGGGAUUAGAGACCCCGGUAAUCCUAGCCGUAAACGAUGUAAACUUGGCGUCGGUGGCUUAAACACCAUCGGUGCCGCAGCUAACGCGAUAAGUUUACCGCCUGGGGACUACGAUCGCAAGAUUAAAAACUCAAAGGAAUUGACGGGGGCCGCACAAGCAGCGGAG
Molecule: ribosomal RNA, 491 nt
Filed under: uncultured bacterium
Lineage: Bacteria
Description: bacterial SSU rRNA
Rfam family: Bacterial small subunit ribosomal RNA
Source: RNAcentral